RNAcentral lists this ribosomal RNA (543 nucleotides) under uncultured Glomus. Its description in RNAcentral is "SSU rRNA". It matches the Rfam family "Eukaryotic small subunit ribosomal RNA", at positions 548 to 1093 of the family's 1831-position model. Lineage: Eukaryota; Fungi; Glomeromycota; Glomeromycetes; Glomerales; Glomeraceae. The record is from RNAcentral.
UUGGAAGGCAAGUCUGGUGCCAGCAGCCGCGGUAAUUCCAGCUCCAAUAGCGCAUAUUAAAGUUGUUGCAGUUAAAAAGCUCGUAGUUGAAUUUCGGGAUUUGCAAGUUGGUCGUGCCUUCGGUAUGCACUGGCUUUGCUGAUUCCUCCUUCUUGAAGAACUGUAAUGCUAUUAAUUUAGUGUUGCAGGGAAACAGGACUGUUACUUUGAAAAAAUUAGAGUGUUUAAAGCAGGCUAACGCUUGAAUACAUUAGCAUGAAAUAAUGAAAUAGGACGUUUGAUCCUAUUUUGUUGGUUUCUAGGAUUGACGUAAUGAUUAAUAGGGAUAGUUGGGGGCAUUAGUAUUCAAUUGUCAGAGGUGAAAUUCUUGGAUUUAUUGAAGACUAACUACUGCGAAAGCUUUUGCCAAGGAUGUUUUCAUUAAUCAAGAACGAAAGUUAGGGGAUCGAAGACGAUCAGAUACCGUCGUAGUCUUAACCAUAAACUAUGCCGACUAGGAUCGGAUGAUGUUAAUUUUUUAAUGACUCAUUCGGCGCCUUACGG